RNAcentral lists this ribosomal RNA (274 nucleotides) under uncultured bacterium. RNAcentral describes it as "partial 16S ribosomal RNA". It matches the Rfam family "Bacterial small subunit ribosomal RNA", at positions 523 to 796 of the family's 1533-position model. The record is from RNAcentral.
AUACGAAGGGUGCAAGCGUUGUCCGGAUUCACUGGGUGUAAAGGGUGUGUAGGCGGGGCGGUAUGUGAGAGGUGAAAGCCCACGGCUCAACCGUGGAAUUGCCUUUGAAACUGCCGUUCUUGAGUCUCGGAGAGGUCGCUGGAAUUCGUGGUGUAGCGGUGAAAUGCGUAGAUAUCACGAGGAACACCAGAGGCGUAGGCGGGCGACUGGACGAGAACUGACGCUGAGGCACGAAAGCGUGGGGAGCAAACAGGAUUAGAAACCCCAGUAGUCC